This 301-nucleotide ribosomal RNA is filed under the name uncultured bacterium. Its description in RNAcentral is "partial 16S ribosomal RNA". It matches the Rfam family "Bacterial small subunit ribosomal RNA", at positions 509 to 807 of the family's 1533-position model. The record is from RNAcentral.
CAGCAGCCGCGGGAAUACGGAGGGGGCUAGCGUUACUCGGAAUUACUGGGCGUAAAGCGUGCGUAGGUGGUGGUUUAAGUCUGUUGUGAAAUCCCCGGGCUCAACCUGGGAAUGGCAAUGGAUACUGGCAAGCUAGAGUGUGUCAGAGGAUGGUGGAAUUCCCGGUGUAGCGGUGAAAUGCGUAGAGAUCGGGAGGAACAUCAGUGGCGAAGGCGGCCAUCUGGGACAACACUGACGCUGAGGCACGAAAGCGUGUGGAGCAAACAGGAUUAGAUACCCGAGUAGUCCCUGUCUCUUAUAC